Molecule: long non-coding RNA, 1067 nt
Organism: Varroa destructor (honeybee mite)
Lineage: Eukaryota; Metazoa; Arthropoda; Arachnida; Mesostigmata; Varroidae
Source: RefSeq, a predicted model, not a curated record
UAAAAUUGGUAUUCCUACAGCUUUGCCUCUAAUCUAACAUAUGAUUGCAAAACUGGUGGCCGCUAACCUCGUCAUUUUCGCGGAGCGCGCAGCCUCUGCGUAAAUGUUUAACGUGGACGGGUCAACGAGAGUCAGCGCGAACUAGCAGGAACUCGUACUAUUUUUCGAAGCUCACCAGUUUUAUUACAGGGAGAAAGUGCCAUUCAUUGACACCAAGCUGAUCUACCGGCCCUGACACAUCCAGACAACACGAAAUAUAAAAGCAGGUCAUAGGUUCCGUUUUGCCGCCGAAGACAUUAAAGAUUAGAAGGUCAAUCGUCGUGUGUGGGAUUCGUGCUGGCGCUAAUUAAAUUUUGCUGGUUGGAAUAAGCACGCCAAACUAGCUGUGUGUGGCUCGCCUUAGCGGGGCGUGACUCGCGUCGGCAGAACCCAACAGGACCUGAAAAAAAAACACCAGCCACCACUUCUUUGAGUUGUUUCCUUGUUUGUUGCCCCCCGUAUAAGGGUUAACAGUAGUGGUAGUAGCAGCAAUGGUCUGUCCCAACCACACUCAUCGCCACUUUCGUCCCCCUUCUUCCUUUUUUCGUUCUCCUCGCCUUCUUCUUCAUUACCCUUCGUUUCAUCGACCCCCAUUUUUAACACCAUAGGCUUUAGCUAACACCUAGAAUCCGACAAGCUACCUACAAACCUACCUAGAAAGCUGCUGAACCAACCUGAACGUAGCUGUUGCAGGUGGCGCUCGUUUCAACCUCCCAGUGCAGGGUCCCAGUGCGCGCGCACUAUGCGUGUGAAUUCUCCAGCUGAGAGAGGCAGGACUUUGGCUGUGGGCUAGCUAAUAUUGGCUCUAACAUACUGGCAUAGCGUGAGGAACGAGGUCAUCAAGAAACGGACAAAGUUGAAUUGUUACAUGAAGAAACGGCCGACGAUUGUUCUAAUAUUAGUUCUCGCUCUAUUAUAUUUUAGGCCGUUUCGGUAACUGCUAACUAUUCAAAGGUACUCGGUAAAAUGAAUCAAAUAACGCUUGAGUUAUCUGGUGGCAAAAAUUAACCGCUUUACUAUUACUAACA